AGGAAAAACGCUGGCGGCGUGCAUGAGACAUGCAAGUCAAACGGACGAUCGGGGUUCGCUCUGAUCGUUAGUGGCGGACGGCUGAGUAACGCGUAGGUGACCUGCCCCGAAGUGGGGAAUAACUGCCCGAAAGGGUGGCUAAUACCGCAUGUGGUGGUGCGUUCGAUCGCACCAGUAAAGCCGCAAGGCGCUUCGGGAGGGGCCCGCGUCCGAUUAGCUCGUUGGUGAGGUAACGGCUCACCAAGGCGACGAUCGGUAGGUGGUCUGAGAGGACGAUCACCCAGACUGGGACUGAGACACGGCCCAGACUCCUACGGGAGGCAGCAGUCGGGAAUUUUGCGCAAUGGACGAAAGUCUGACGCAGCAACGCCGCGUGAGGGAUGAAGGCCUUCGGGUUGUAACCUCUUUUCCAGGGAAGAUAAUGACGGUACCUGGCGAAUAAGUCACGGCUAACUACGUGCCAGCAGCCGC
This 471-nucleotide ribosomal RNA is filed under the name uncultured bacterium. RNAcentral describes it as "SSU rRNA". It matches the Rfam family "Bacterial small subunit ribosomal RNA", at positions 26 to 518 of the family's 1533-position model. The record is from RNAcentral.